This 253-nucleotide ribosomal RNA is filed under the name uncultured bacterium. Its description in RNAcentral is "partial 16S ribosomal RNA". It matches the Rfam family "Bacterial small subunit ribosomal RNA", at positions 524 to 776 of the family's 1533-position model. The record is from RNAcentral.
GACAGAGGUGCCGAGCGUUAGGCGGAAUCACUGGGCUUAAAGCGUGUGUAGGCGGGUCGUUAAGUACCUUGUGAAAUCCCCCGGCUCAACCGGGGAACUGCUGGGUAUACUGGCGAUCUUGAGCCACCUAGGGGCAGUCGGAACAAGUGGUGGAGCGGUGAAAUGCGUAGAUAUCACUUGGAACGCCAAUGGUGAAAACAGACUGCUGGGGGUGUGCUGACGCUGAGACACGAAAGCCAGGGGAGCGAACGGG